GUCUUGGGGUGGAUAGACAUGCUAGUCAGCGCUUCCCAGCCAAAGGGGAGUGCGGCAUACAGCUCAGUAACACGUGGCUAACCUGCCCUCGAGACAGAGACAACCCCGGGAAACUGGGGCUAAUCUCCGAUAGGCGAAGAGCUCUGGAAUGAGCCUUUACCCAAAUAACAAUCAGGCUACGCUUCUGGUUGUCGCUCGAGGAUGGGGCCGCGACCGAUCAGGUUGUUGGUGAGGUAACGGCUCACCAAGCCUAUAACCGGUGCGGGCCGUGGGAGCGGGAGCCCGGAGAUGGGCACUGAGACAAGGGCCCAGGCCCUACGGGGCGCAGCAGUCGCGCAAACUUUGCAAUACACGAAAGUGUGACAGGGCUAUCCCGAGUGCCGUCCGCUGAGGAUGGCUUUUACCUAGUCUAGAACGCUGGGGGAAUAAGGAGAGGGCAAGUCUGGUGUCAGCCGCCGCGGUAAUACCAGCUCUCCGAGUGGUGUGGAUGUUUAUUGGGCCUAAAGCAUCCGUAGCUGGCCAAGUCAGUCCCUUGUUAAACCCACCGAAUUAAUCGUUGGAUUGCGGGGGAUACUGCUCGGCUAGGGGACGAGAGAGGCAGACGGUAUUUUCGGGGUAGGGGUGAAAUCCUAUAAUCCCGGGAAGACCACCAGUGGCGAAGGCUGUCUGCUAGAACGCGCCCGACGGUGAGGGAUGAAAGCUGGGGGAGCGAACCGGAUUAGAUACCCGGGUAGUCCCAGCUGUAAACGAUGCACGCUAGGUGUUUGGGCGGCCACGUGCCGCUCUAGUGCCGCAGGGAAGCUGUUAAGCCUGCCGCCUGGGGGAGUACGGUCGCAAGAUUGAAACUUAAAGGAAUUGGCGGGGGAGCACCACAAGGGGUGAAGCUUGCGGUUUAAUUGGAGUCAACGCCGGG
RNAcentral lists this ribosomal RNA (913 nucleotides) under uncultured archaeon. Its description in RNAcentral is "bacterial SSU rRNA". It matches the Rfam family "Archaeal small subunit ribosomal RNA", at positions 30 to 922 of the family's 1478-position model. The record is from RNAcentral.